RNAcentral lists this ribosomal RNA (253 nucleotides) under uncultured bacterium. Its description in RNAcentral is "partial 16S ribosomal RNA". It matches the Rfam family "Bacterial small subunit ribosomal RNA", at positions 524 to 776 of the family's 1533-position model. The record is from RNAcentral.
UACGUAGGGGGCAAGCGUUGUCCGGAAUCAUUGGGCGUAAAGAGCGUGUAGGCGGCCAAGCAGGUCAGCUGUGAAAACUCGAGGCUCAACCUCGAGACGUCGGUUGAAACCGCUUGGCUAGAGUCCGGAAGAGGAGAGUGGAAUUCCCGGUGUAGCGGUGAAAUGCGCAGAUAUCGGGAAGAACACCCGUGGCGAAGGCGGCUCUCUGGGACGGUACUGACGCUGAGACGCGAAAGCGUGGGGAGCGAACAGG